Molecule: ribosomal RNA, 467 nt
Filed under: uncultured bacterium
Lineage: Bacteria
Description: bacterial SSU rRNA
Rfam family: Bacterial small subunit ribosomal RNA
Source: RNAcentral
GGCCGCGGGAAUUCGAUUCAGGCCUAACACAUGCAAGUCGAGCGGUAACAGGAGAAGCUUACUUCUCGCUGACGAGCGGCGGACGGGUGAGUAAUACUUAGGAAUCUGCCCAGUAGUGGGGGAUAGCUCAGGGAAACUCGAAUUAAUACCGCAUACACCCUACGGGGAAAAGGGGGCGCUUGCGCUCUCGCUAUUGGAUGAGCCUAAGUCGGAUUAGCUAGUUGGUGGGGUAAAGGCCUACCAAGGCGACGAUCUGUAGCUGGUCUGAGAGGAUGAUCAGCCACACCGGGACUGAGACACGGCCCGGACUCCUACGGGAGGCAGCAGUGGGGAAUAUUGGACAAUGGGGGCAACCCUGAUCCAGCCAGGCCGCGUGUGUGAAGAAGGCCUUUUGGUGUAAAGCAAAGAAGCAGUGAAGAAGACCUAACGGUUAAUACCCGUUAGCGAUGACAUAGUGCAGAAUAGCC